RNAcentral lists this ribosomal RNA (375 nucleotides) under uncultured bacterium. RNAcentral describes it as "bacterial SSU rRNA". It matches the Rfam family "Bacterial small subunit ribosomal RNA", at positions 521 to 896 of the family's 1533-position model. The record is from RNAcentral.
UAAGACGGAGGGUGCUAGCGUUGUUCGGAAUUACUGGGCGUAAAGGGCGCGUAGGCGGCUCUUGAAGUCGGAUGUGAAAGCCCGGGGCUCAACCUCGGAACGGCAUCCGAUACUCUUGGGCUUGAGACCGGAAGAGGUGAGUGGAAUACCCAGUGUAGAGGUGAAAUUCGUAGAUAUUGGGUGGAACACCGGUGGCGAAAGCGGCUCACUGGUCCGGUUCUGACGCUGAGGCGCGAAAGCGUGGGGAGCAAACAGGAUUAGAUACCCUGGUAGUCCACGCCCUAAACGAUGUGUGCUGGGCGUUGGGGGGCUUGCCCCCCGGUGCCGGAGCUAACGCGGUAAGCACACCGCCUGGGGAGUACGGCCGCAAGGUUA